AAAUUGAAGUCGCGUGUUUGCAUUAGUUUUUUGAAUUGCUGCUGGGGCUGGGGCUGCGUGAUCGUCACUGGCGUCCUCCAGAGUGCCCACCGAUCGGAAAGUCGUACGAACCGCAAGCUUUGAACGUCUGUUUAUCGCAACAUCGAAAGCGGUGGCACAGAAGACGCGAUGUGAGCUCCGGUGGGAACAGCAGCCCUUUGUCUCGUAACGGUCCCUGACACCGCCUCUCCGACUUCUAAGAGCACACGGGUUUUUCCGGAAUCUUCCAAAAGAUGCUAGAACUUUUCUGAAGACCCCCCGUGGGGCUGUCGAGGAUGUUGCUAUCUCUACAAUAGCCGGAGAAGACGAAACAAGUUUUGCAAUGCACACGGACUGGCUCAGUUGUGAAUGUCACAAAUGCUCCCCUAACGAGGAUCAAAUCAAUGAAAGGAUGGCCUUGAUAAAUAAUAUUCAUGAGGCGAAGAGGAAGUACCCAUACAUGAUGAGCUUUGAGAGGUGACUUUGCAAGACUGACUAAGAUUGACCCAUCACCUUGUAUUGCAAAAGGGAUCAACAAAAUUGUGAAAAUGGCAGAAAUGAAACACAUCCCUUGCGAAGCAAGUGUAAUGGCAUCACUUCAAAAGGCUCGUGAGAUGUCACCGGAGAGGCUGCGAACCCGACGACCCGAGCGUUCCUGCAACCUCUUGCAUCGUAUUUUCUGGAGAAGACGUUGAAGAGGCUGACCUCCACAUCAAGGUGGACCGCGAGAUGUUUGCAGUGAAAAAUGGGGAGGAGGGGCUGGCGGCUGUUUUAUCUGCUUACUGGCUCUUCAAUAUCCAGUACGACCGCAAGCUGUUCAACACUCUUCUCGUGUUGGAGCGCCUUUUCCUUGGGCUCACAUUGAGUACCCUAUAGAGUAGUGGCUACAAAGUUCUUGAACAAUGUUGCCAAAUGUGUGCCAUGUUUAAUGUGCUGAAGCUGUGCACUGUUACCUCAUCAUGAGUUUAGCUGUAAUUUUCAGAUGCAAGUUUUGUUUUGUCUAACCAUUUCUGCAAUACAUAUGAAGGAAGCCAACAGUCACCGAUAACAAGGCAAGCU
Molecule: long non-coding RNA, 1077 nt
Organism: Dermacentor silvarum
Lineage: Eukaryota; Metazoa; Arthropoda; Arachnida; Ixodida; Ixodidae
Exons: 5
Source: RefSeq, a predicted model, not a curated record